Molecule: long non-coding RNA, 2861 nt
Organism: Lycium barbarum (goji berry)
Lineage: Eukaryota; Viridiplantae; Streptophyta; Magnoliopsida; Solanales; Solanaceae
Exons: 2
Source: RefSeq, a predicted model, not a curated record
UACCUCUUCUCCUUCCUCACACUCCACCUCUGAAGCUUCCAGGCUCCAUGUGUGAUUUCAGCAGAUUUCAUGGCUAAACAAGCUCUUCAAGAGGAUUCAGAGACUCGAUGACGACAAAUAGCCUCAGUUCGAUGUCUUGGAGAAGGUCAGUAAUCAACCUAAUUUUUUUUUUCCUUUCAGUUCAUAGAUAAAUAAGUAGUUGCUUGGAUGUUAUUGUCGUUCGUUUAAUUUUCUAUUUUAACUGUAUAAUUAGAACCAGCAAAUCUUGUUUCCUUGUUUAGUCUUCUGUUUAAAGGGUGUUAGAAUCUACUUUCCUGUUAUUUUGAUGAAAGACCAGUAUGUAAAACUUAAAACAUAGGAACUAUGACGUUUAGGAAGGAAACAACUUAUUUGCACAAGCUUGAACUAAUCGAAACUUGCUGACGUUGGAAUAACCUUAUCACUUAUAAAUCUUUUACUUCAUUGCUCAAAAGAGGUUAGCGUUUUCACUCUCUGCUCUACUCUUUGAAAUCUUGAAUUUUGACUGUGUUGAGAUGCAAGAAUAUGUUGUCUAUUUUUUUUUAGAUAUGUUGUAAAUAGCCUAGUCUUCAUGUUCUUUUGAAGCAAUAGAAUGCUCGAAUAAGUUAGUUACGAGACUCUGUCUUUCCUCUAAAGAUAUCAUGGUUGUUGGAUAUAAAAAUGUGAAUGUGUGUUUUGUUUCGUGACCGUAGGAAACCAUGAUUUAGCAUAUUGUUUUAUCAUGUUUGUAGUUGAGGUCAUAUGUUUAGUUAAUGAGAUAAUAGAUUAUUGCAAGUCCAUAACGAGAAGAAUAUGAUGUCCUUCAUGAUUUAUGUCCAAAAUCUCUUUUUCUUUACCAUGUCCAUGAGACGUUCUUAACUUAAGAAGACUUUUGUUUAUGGAUUUUUUGGGAUUUUUCCAUAGUUAACUAAAUAUGCUUUAUACAUUAGAAAGCUACAUUUGUGCCAGAAAAGAGAAGUUACUGGAUUUGAAUAAAAAGAGAGUUACUAUUUUGGUUAAAGGAAGUUACUGUUUUUGAUAUAUAUAAAAAAAAAGUUACUGUUUUGAUUGGGAAAAAAGUUACUUGUUUUGAUUAAAAGAAAAGUUACUGAUUCGUGGAAAUUAAACAUGUCGAAUAUGUGAUUAACUUCGUCCUUAACCUAAUUUCUGUUUUUUAAGGCUUAUCAGAAUCAGCCCCUGCCUUGUUUUUCUUCAAAAAAUUGUAUAUAAAAGGCUAACACGAACCGUGUCAUCUAAAGGAAAUCCAUUGAUGGAAUUAUGAUAAAAAUGUGAAUGUGCAGUUAGAGUGAAUGAUCGUUUACCUCUCGUCUUUCUGUGUGUUUGGAGUCAUGUCCAUGAAACCAUUUUAUUUCUUUAAUAUGAGUCCCAUUCAAGAAAAACAAUGAACCUGUCUGGCUGAAGGAUUCUUUAUGUUGUGAAGAAUGUGCAGUUACAUGUAAUGUUUUCUUGUCAAGGGUACUACAUCUGUGUUCUCAUUUAGAAGGAGCAAUUCUCCAGUUCUACUUGGUAUAAUACUCAAGAUUUGCUAAGCUUAUGCCUCGUUGAGUCUCUUGGCUUUGUUUGAACCAUUGUUAAGGGCGGAUUAUAUGACAUGAAUUUACCUCUUUCUUUAGACUUAGAUGGCAUAACCUUAGAACCUUAAUGGCAUGUCAAAGUGUUCAAACCACUGUAACAGUAGGCUGCCCUAUUUGAUCAUGUUUUCGCGUUUAGGUUGUCCGAGAAUUAACUCAUCAUUUUUACUGGCCUAAGUGUUGCAUACUGUGUGGACAUCGUCCUGCUAGAUAUUGUCUUUUCUAUUUGUUCAGAGGUCUAAAACUCAUGUAUUCAAGUUUCACCUUCUGUUUAAACUUGAAGUGCCAAAGUGUGUCGGAUAUAGCUCCGGGAACAUCCUGCACGUAAUGUAUUUUGAGUACCUGUUCCACGCAAUUGUCUUGUUGGGAUCCUCUUUAAUCAAAUCCUUACCAAAAAAAAUGAUUUAAAGGUUCAGUUAUUAAGUUACAAAUAUUUUGCCAUGGUUGUCUUCGCUCAAGCUUUAGCUUGCUGGUUACAAUCAGUUGGACAUGUUGAUCGUUUUCUUUAUAUGCACGUAAAGUUAUUGGGCUGUAUGUCCUUUGUGAGAUUCUUAACCAUGUAGUUUAAUUAAAUAACCAAGAUUAGGAAUAGUUUUUCUUACUUCCAAAAUAAGAAAAAAUAAAGAAAAAAAUCUCACCAGAAAGUAGUCAACAACUUAAGGUUGGACGAAUAUAUUCUCUCAUGAUCACUGAGUACAUGGUUGGGUUUAACGGCUGUCUUUGUUUCUUGUAUGAUUAAUAAAAUGUUCAGAUGUACUUUGUCUAUUUUUUCUAUGUUUCUCUGACUACUUUUUAUCCUUGGCUAACUGUGAUCCUAUUCUUUUUGUAUUAGAAGUUGCAAUCUGCAUUCGAAAAGUUUUAAGUAUUGAAGUCAUGUUUUGGAAUUAACUAGCUGUAUAUAUUGCAUUUCUCACUCACUAUGUUUCUUUUAUUAAGACUGCUUCUAAUUUCUUAUCCUUCUUUCUUUUGCAUGAACACACUUGGGAGCAUUUGGAGUUAUGACAACUCUAGAUCAUGCCCAUAUAAGAGAAGGGAACAGUAGUAGCCUAUGUUUCGUUCAUUAAUCUGUCGCAGUCUCAGUUCCUCAUUCGUGUCAAGAGUCUUCGUCCUCCUUCCUCUCUUCGAACUUUAUGUCUUUGUGUAAACUUGUGUAUAUACAUGUUGUUUAUAUUUUUGACUAACAUUUUAUGGAUUGUUUUUGUAGCAUAUUUAUGUCUUUGCUUGUGUACGAACUCGCGGAGAAAUAGUUAAGUAUAGAAAUUUAAUUGCUUA